AUGAGAGGUGUCAAAGACAUCUUGAGAAAUCAAAAAACUGGUAAAACUGUGGAAAUCAGCACCUUGGAGUCUGUCUUGGCUGAUAUGGGGCUUUUCCUAACUCAGGAUGAGGUACAGCAGGCUCUCGGUCAGACAACAGUGAAUAAGGAUGGGAAUGUGGAUUUGAAAGACUUCAUGUGGGCUAUCCAGAGUAUCCCCAGUAUGCAAGACAAACAAGUGCAAGUUGAUAACUUGGAUGCUGUACUGGGUGGCAUGGGGAUCUACCUAAACCAAGAAGAACUGCAGGAUGCACUGAAGCUGACAAAGCAUUAUGAGAAUGAGAUGGUGAAUUUGAAAGAUUUCAUCAGGGCUUGCAAUGCCACACUAACCCUCUCCGGCAUUGAUGGUGAGUAUUUUUAA
This 399-nucleotide long non-coding RNA is filed under the name Anolis carolinensis (green anole). RNAcentral's name for it is "lncRNA (ENSACAG00000032895.2)". The record is from RNAcentral. Lineage: Eukaryota; Metazoa; Chordata; Lepidosauria; Squamata; Anolidae.